RNAcentral lists this ribosomal RNA (568 nucleotides) under uncultured crenarchaeote. RNAcentral describes it as "bacterial SSU rRNA". It matches the Rfam family "Archaeal small subunit ribosomal RNA", at positions 249 to 817 of the family's 1478-position model. Lineage: Archaea; Thermoproteati; Thermoproteota. The record is from RNAcentral.
CCACCAAGGCUAUAACAGAUACGGGCUCUGAGAGGAGAAGCCCGGAGAUGGGUACUGAGACACGGACCCAGGCCCUAUGGGGCGCAGCAGGCGAGAAAACUUUGCAAUGUGCGAAAGCACGACAAGGUUAAUCCGAGUGGUUCCUGCUAAAGGAACCUUUUGCCGGUCCUAAAAACACCGGUGAAUAAGGGGUGGGCAAGUUCUGGUGUCAGCCGCCGCGGUAAAACCAGCACCUCAAGUGGUCAGGAGGAUUAUUGGGCCUAAAGCAUCCGUAGCCGGCUGUGUAAGUUUUCGGUUAAAUCCAUGCGCUCAACGUAUGGGCUGCCGGGAAUACUGCACAGCUAGGGAGUGGGAGAGGUAGACGGUACUCGGUAGGGAGGGGUAAAAUCCACUGAUCUAUCGAUGACCACCUGUGGCGAAGGCGGUCUACUAGAACACGUCCGACGGUGAGGGAUGAAAGCUGGGGGAGCAAACCGGAUUAGAUACCCGGGUAGUCCCAGCUGUAAACAAUGCAAACUCAGUGAUGCGCUGGCUUAAAGGCCAGUGCAGUGCCGCAGGGAAGCCGUUA